This 100-nucleotide ribosomal RNA is filed under the name Aleurodiscus amorphus. RNAcentral's name for it is "partial 5.8S ribosomal RNA". It matches the Rfam family "5.8S ribosomal RNA", at positions 57 to 154 of the family's 154-position model. Rfam says of the family: 5.8S ribosomal RNA (5.8S rRNA) is a component of the large subunit of the eukaryotic ribosome. Lineage: Eukaryota; Fungi; Basidiomycota; Agaricomycetes; Russulales; Stereaceae. RNAcentral also lists the same sequence under 2 other names. The record is from RNAcentral.
GAUAAGUAAUGUGAAUUGCAGAAUUCAGUGAAUCAUCGAAUCUUUGAACGCACCUUGCGCCCUUUGGUAUUCCGAAGGCACACCUGUUUGAGUGUCGUGA